Molecule: long non-coding RNA, 615 nt
Organism: Arachis duranensis
Lineage: Eukaryota; Viridiplantae; Streptophyta; Magnoliopsida; Fabales; Fabaceae
Exons: 3
Source: RefSeq, a predicted model, not a curated record
GAAGUUGGAACAUGGACGUGUAACACUAAACUUUGCAUGCUGUUGUUUGUAUUUGUGUUGCAUUAUUUGGUAUCUCUGUACGAUUCAUCUUCUUUUGGUUUUUGUAACAGAGACUGGCAGUGAGGAUGAUGGCCUUUUGGAUCUGAGUGAAGAUGAUUUUUUUUCGUUGGGAGUUCUAGUGAUGAAGCAGAUACAAAUCAUGAAUGGACAGACAAAAGUACGAGAUUCACUAAUUAACAAACAAGAACAUGGAGUGGUGGGUGUCAAUACCAAAGGUGGAGUUGCAUGCUCAUCUCAAUGGAUCCAUUAGAGACUCCACACUCCUAGAACUCACAAAGGCCUUAGGUGAAAAGGGUGUUAUAAAUUUCUCUCAAGUGGAGCAUAUUAUCAUGAAGUGUAUGUGUAUCAUGAAGUGUAUGUGUAUAUAUAAUUAAUAACCUUUUAUUAUUAUUAUUAUUAUUAUUAUUAUUAUUAUUAUUCUUUUUGGCUCCUAAAAGACCAGCACAACCUAUAAUGUCCCUCAAGUGGUGCUCUUUAUGUUCCUACUUGAUUUUGAUUCUUGAUGCAUUAUGUGCAAGUCUUUUAGCUCAAUUUUGUUAACAACAGCAUCCAUAG